Molecule: ribosomal RNA, 1387 nt
Filed under: uncultured bacterium
Lineage: Bacteria
Description: bacterial SSU rRNA
Rfam family: Bacterial small subunit ribosomal RNA
Source: RNAcentral
AGAGUUUGAUCCUGGCUCAGGAUGACCUCUGGCGGCGUGCCUAAUACAUGCAAGUCGAACGCGGGCACUUGUGCCCGAGUGGCGAACGGGUGAGUAAUACAUAAGUAACCUGGCCUUUACAGGGGGAUAACUGCUGGAAACGGCAGCUAAGACCGCAUAGGUAGGGACACUGCAUGGUGACCGUAUUAAAAGUGCUGCAAGGCACUGGUAGAGGAUGGACUUAUGGCGCAUUAGCUGGUUGGUGAGGCAACGGCUCACCAAGGCGACGAUGCGUAGCCGACCUGAGAGGGUGACCGGCCACACUGGGACUGAGACACGGCCCAGACUCCUACGGGAGGCAGCAGUAGGGAAUUUUCGGCAAUGGGGGGAACCCUGACCGAGCAACGCCGCGUGAAGGAAGAAGGAAUUCGUUCUGUAAACUUCUGUUAUAAAGGAAGAAAGACGGAUGGAGGAAAUGACAUCCGAGUGACGGUACUUUAUGAGAAAGCCACGGCUAACUACGUGCCAGCAGCCGCGGUAAUACGUAGGUGGCAAGCGUUAUCCGGAAUUAUUGGGCGUAAAGAGGGAGCAGGCGGCAGCAAAGGUCUGUGGUGAAAGACUGAAGCUUAACUUCAGUAAGCCAUAGAAACCGGGCAGCUAGAGUGCAGGAGAGGAUCGUGGAAUUCCAUGUGUAGCGGUGAAAUGCGUAGAUAUAUGGAGGAACACCAGUGGCGAAGGCGACGAUCUGGCCUGCAACUGACGCUCAGUCCCGAAAGCGUGGGGAGCAAAUAGGAUUAGAUACCCUAGUAGUCCACGCCGUAAACGAUGAGUACUAAGUGUUGGAAGUCAAAUUUCAGUGCUGCAGUUAACGCAGUAAGUACUCCGCCUGAGUAGUACGUUCGCAAGAAUGAAACUCAAAGGAAUUGACGGGGGCCCGCACAAGCGGUGGAGCAUGUGGUUUAAUUCGAAGCAACGCGAAGAACCUUACCAGGUCUUGACAUACUCAUAAAGGAUCCAGAGAUGGAUAGAUAGUUAUAUGAGAUACGGGUGGUGCAUGGUUGUCGUCAGCUCGUGUCGUGAGAUGUUGGGUUAAGUCCCGCAACGAGCGCAACCCUUGUCGUUAGUUACCAUCAUUAAGUUGGGGACUCUAGCGAGACUGCCAGUGACAAGCUGGAGGAAGGCGGGGAUGACGUCAAAUCAUCAUGCCCCUUAUGACCUGGGCUACACACGUGCUACAAUGGAUGGUGCAGAGGGAAGCGAAGCCGCGAGGCGAAGCAAAACCCAUAAAACCAUUCUCAGUUCGGAUUGUAGUCUGCAACUCGACUACAUGAAGUUGGAAUCGCUAGUAAUCGCGAAUCAGCAUGUCGCGGUGAAUACGUUCUCGGGCCUUGUACAAAGCGCCCGUCAA